This is a non-coding RNA of Castor canadensis (American beaver), 1243 nucleotides long. NCBI's taxonomy places the organism in Eukaryota, Metazoa, Chordata, Mammalia, Rodentia, Castoridae. The record is from RefSeq and is a predicted model, not a curated record.
AUGUUCUACAAGAUGAGACUUGGGUCUUCUCUUGUGCCUGGUGACAACUCUCCAAGUGGCAGUGACAUUAAAGAUGUCACUGUGAGCCACCGAAACGGCAGUGCUCCCUGCCCCAGGACCCCGCCAUCGUGCAGUCUUCACUAGGGUCCUCAUCAUCUUCAUUCCAGUCUGUGGGAUCCUAUGGCCCCUUUGGCAGGAUGCUGACAUACAGCCAGUUCAGCCCCAGCACGUUAGUUGGGCAGCAGUUUGGUACAGUUGGUGUUGCUGGAAGCUCCUUCAACCUCCUUUGGAACAGAAAUAUCAAACAGUGGUGCCUUAUCCCAACACAGUGUGGUUGGUUCUGCCUUUACACAGGACACAAAAUCUAUAAAGACACAGUUAUCUCAAGGUCGUUCAAGCCCUCAAUUAGACACUUUGAGAAAAAGUCCAACCACGGAACAAGCAGCUCAGACCGCCUCAGCCCACUUACUGACCCCAGCGCCUGUUGGGAGAAGGAGCCCUGUGUCAAACAGGCCUUUGCCAUCCACCAGCCAGAAAGCAAUAGAGAAUCAGGAGUACAGGCGAGCUGAAGUGCACAAAGUUCCAAGGCCAGAAAAUGAGCAACUCAGAAAUGAUAGCAAGAGACAAGUAGUUCCAGGUGCUCCUUCAGCUCCAAGGAGAGGGCGUGGGGGUCAUCGAGGUGGCAGGGGAAGAUUUGGUAUUCGGGGAGAUGGCCCUAUGAAAUUUGAGAAAGACUUUGACUUUGAAAGUGCAAAUGCACAAUUUAACAAGGAGGAGAUCGACAGAGAGUUUCAUAAUAAACUUAAAUUAAAAGAAGAUAAACUUGAGAAGCAGGAGAGGCCCGUCAAUGGUGAAGAUAAAGGAGACUCAGGAGUUGACACCCAAAACAGUGAAGGAAAUGCCAAUGAAGAAGAUCCCCUGGGGCCCAACUGCUACUAUGACAAAACUAAGUCCUUCUUUGAUAAUAUCUCUUGUGAUGAUAACAGAGAAAGAAGACCGACCUGGGCUGAAGAAAGAAGGUUAAACUCAGAAACAUUUGGCAUCCCACUCUGUCCAAGUCGUGGGCGUGGUGGCUACAGAGGCAGAGGAGGUCUUGGUUUCCGUGGCAGCAGAGGAGGGCAGUGGCAGAGGAGGGGCCUUCACUGCCCCUUGAGGAGGAUUUCGAGGUGGCUUCAGAGGAAGUCGCGGGGGCAGGGAGUUUGCAGAUUUUGAAUACAGGAAAACCACAGCUUUUGGGCCCUAA